GUGGGGAAUAUUGGACAAUGGGCGCAAGCCUGAUCCAGCCAUGCCGCGUGCAGGAAGACGCAUCUAUGGUGUGUAAACUGCUUUUGUACGGGAAGAAACACUCCCUCGUGAGGGAGCUUGACGGUACCGUAAGAAUAAGGAUCGGCUAACUCCGUGCCAGCAGCCGCGGUAAUACGGAGGAUCCAAGCGUUAUCCGGAAUCAUUGGGUUUAAAGGGUCCGUAGGCGGUUUAAUAAGUCAGUGGUGAAAGCCCAUCGCUCAACGAUGGAACGGCCAUUGAUACUGUUAGACUUGAAUUACAAGGAAGUAACUAGAAUAUGUAGUGUAGCGGUGAAAUGCUUAGAUAUUACAUGGAAUACCAAUUGCGAAGGCAGGUUACUACUUGUGGAUUGACGCUGAUGGACGAAAGCGUGGGGAGCGAACAGGAUUAGAUACCCGUGUAGUCC
This 445-nucleotide ribosomal RNA is filed under the name uncultured bacterium. RNAcentral describes it as "partial 16S ribosomal RNA". It matches the Rfam family "Bacterial small subunit ribosomal RNA", at positions 354 to 796 of the family's 1533-position model. The record is from RNAcentral.